Molecule: ribosomal RNA, 363 nt
Filed under: uncultured bacterium
Lineage: Bacteria
Description: partial 16S ribosomal RNA
Rfam family: Bacterial small subunit ribosomal RNA
Source: RNAcentral
CCUACGGGAGGCAGCAGUGAGGAAUAUUGGUCAAUGGACGCAAGUCUGAACCAGCCAUGCCGCGUGCAGGAAGACGGCUCUAUGAGUUGUAAACUGCUUUUGUACGAGGGUAAAAGCAGAUACGCGUACCUGUCUGAAAGUAUCGUACGAAUAAGGAUCGGCUAACUCCGUGCCAGCAGCCGCGGUAAUACGGAGGAUGCAAGCGUUAUCCGGAUUUAUUGGGUUUAAAGGGUGCGUAGGCGGGCGGUUAAGUUAGAGGUGAAAUCCCGGGGCUCAACUUCGGAAUUGCCUCUGAUACUGGUCGGCUAGAGAGUAGUUGCGGUAGGCGGAAUGUAUGGUGUAGCGGUGAAAUGCUUAGAGAUC